UGUGAGAGCGGGCUUGCUCGCGAAUGCGGUGUGUCAGGCACUGUAUCUGUUACUGAUCCACCGCUUUCGCGAGCAAGCCCGCUCCCACA
This 89-nucleotide unclassified non-coding RNA is filed under the name Pseudomonas yamanorum. Lineage: Bacteria; Pseudomonadati; Pseudomonadota; Gammaproteobacteria; Pseudomonadales; Pseudomonadaceae. The record is from RNAcentral.